Caenorhabditis elegans is the source of this 224-nucleotide non-coding RNA. The record is from Ensembl. Lineage: Eukaryota; Metazoa; Nematoda; Chromadorea; Rhabditida; Rhabditidae.
GCAAAAACAUCCCCACUUUGUUCAUUGUGGCUUGGAAUUUAGUAAAUUUUGAAUUUGAAUUUCGAAUCAAAAGUUGAAAGGAACAUUUCUAAAAUAGUAUUCUUGUCACAUGUGUCAUCGGAGACAAAAAACUAAAAAUAAAAAUUGUUACUGGUUAGUCAUAUGGUGAAACAUGGACACAAAAGGAAACGAGAAAAAAAUCAGGAACAUCUGAUUUUUUUUCG